RNAcentral lists this long non-coding RNA (180 nucleotides) under Mus pahari (shrew mouse). Its description in RNAcentral is "predicted gene, 16833 (MGP_PahariEiJ_G0002257.1)". Lineage: Eukaryota; Metazoa; Chordata; Mammalia; Rodentia; Muridae. The record is from RNAcentral.
AUGUGUUGCUCUUGCAGAGGAUCUGGAUUUUGUUCCUAGCAUCCACGUGGAGCAGCACACAGUUCAAGGGAUAUGCUGCUCUCUUCUGGCCUCUAAGGGUACCCAUGCAUGUGUACCUGUGUGCACACACACAUAUACAUAAUGCAACAAAUAUUUUUUAAUAAAAGAAUCUUUGUGGAG